CGUAGGGUGCGAGCGUUAUUCGGAAUUACUGGGCGUAAAGCGUGCGCAGGCGGUUCGCCAAGUCAGGUGUGAAAUCCCCGGGCUUAACCUGGGAAUUGCGCUUGAAACUAGCGGGCUUGAGUGUGGCAGAGGGGGUGGAAUUCCACGUGUAGCAGUGAAAUGCGUAGAGAUGUGGAGGAACACCGAUGGCGAAGGCAGCCCCCUGGGUCAACACUGACGCUCAUGCACGAAAGCGUGGGGAGCAAACAGGAUUAGAUACCCUGGUAGUCCACGCCCUAAACGAUGUCGACUAGGUGUUGGGGAAGGAGACUUCCUUAGUACCGCAGCUAACGCGUGAAGUCGACCGCCUGGGGAGUACGGUCGCAAGAUUA
RNAcentral lists this ribosomal RNA (371 nucleotides) under uncultured organism. RNAcentral describes it as "bacterial SSU rRNA". It matches the Rfam family "Bacterial small subunit ribosomal RNA", at positions 526 to 896 of the family's 1533-position model. The record is from RNAcentral.